UACGAAGGGUGCAAGCGUUACUCGGAAUUACUGGGCGUAAAGCGUGCGUAGGUGGUUCGUUAAGUCUGAUGUGAAAGCCCUGGGCUCAACCUGGGAAUGGCAUUGGAAACUGGCGAUCUAGAGUGCGGUAGAGGGUAGUGGAAUUCCCGGUGUAGCAGUGAAAUGCGUAGAGAUCGGGAGGAACAUCUGUGGCGAAGGCGACUGCCUGGACCAGCACUGACACUGAGGCACGAAAGCGUGGGGAGCAAACGGG
RNAcentral lists this ribosomal RNA (253 nucleotides) under uncultured bacterium. Its description in RNAcentral is "partial 16S ribosomal RNA". It matches the Rfam family "Bacterial small subunit ribosomal RNA", at positions 524 to 776 of the family's 1533-position model. The record is from RNAcentral.